This 468-nucleotide ribosomal RNA is filed under the name uncultured bacterium. Its description in RNAcentral is "partial 16S ribosomal RNA". It matches the Rfam family "Bacterial small subunit ribosomal RNA", at positions 28 to 507 of the family's 1533-position model. The record is from RNAcentral.
GACGAACGCUGGCGGCGUGCUUAACACAUGCAAGUCGAACGGAAAGGCCCUGCUUUUGUGGGGUGCUCGAGUGGCGAACGGGUGAGUAACACGUGAGUAACCUGCCCUUGACUUUGGGAUAACUUCAGGAAACUGGGGCUAAUACCGGAUAGGAGCUCCUGCUGCAUGGUGGGGGUUGGAAAGUUUCGGCGGUUGGGGAUGGACUCGCGGCUUAUCAGCUUGUUGGUGGGGUAGUGGCUUACCAAGGCUUUGACGGGUAGCCGGCCUGAGAGGGCGACCGGCCACAUUGGGACUGAGAUACGGCCCAGACGCCUACGGGAGGCAGCAGUGGGGAAUAUUGCACAAUGGGCGGAAGCCUGAUGCAGCAACGCCGCGUGCGGGAUGACGGCCUUCGGGUUGUAAACCGCUUUCGCCUGUGACGAAGCGUGAGUGACGGUAAUGGGUAAGGAAGCACCAGCUAACUACGUG